UAAUACAGAGACCUCGAGCGUUAUCCGGAUUUAUUGGGCGUAAAGGGUCCGCAGGCGGUCGUGUGCGUCAUAUGUCAAAACUCUGGGCUCAACCCAGAAUCGGCGUGUGAUACGGCACGACUAGAAGCUGGGAGAGGCACAUGGAAUUACUGGUGUAGCGGUAAAAUGCGUUAAUAUCAGUAAGAACACCAAAGGCGAAGGCAGUGUGCUGGAACAGUCUUGACGCUCAGGGACGAAAGCGUGGGGAGCGAAAGGGAUUAGAUACCCCUGUAGUCCACGCCCUAAACGAUGAAUGCUAGAUAUCGGGAGUAUCGACCCUCCCGGUGUCGGUGAACCAAGCUAACGCGUUAAGCAUUCCGCCUGGGAAGUACGACCGCAAGGUUA
RNAcentral lists this ribosomal RNA (384 nucleotides) under uncultured bacterium. RNAcentral describes it as "bacterial SSU rRNA". It matches the Rfam family "Bacterial small subunit ribosomal RNA", at positions 521 to 896 of the family's 1533-position model. The record is from RNAcentral.